This 460-nucleotide ribosomal RNA is filed under the name uncultured bacterium. RNAcentral's name for it is "partial 16S ribosomal RNA". It matches the Rfam family "Bacterial small subunit ribosomal RNA", at positions 338 to 795 of the family's 1533-position model. The record is from RNAcentral.
CCUACGGGAGGCUGCAGUGAGGAAUAUUGGUCAAUGGGCGCGAGCCUGAACCAGCCACGUAGCGUGAAGGAUGACUGCCCUCCGGGUUGUAAACUUCUUUUAUAAAGGAAUAAAGUGAGGCACGUGUGCCUUUUUGUAUGUACUUUAUGAAUAAGGAUCGGCUAACUCCGUGCCAGCAGCCGCGGUAAUACGGAGGAUCCGAGCGUUAUCCGGGUUUAUUGGGUGUAAAGGGAGCGUAGAUGGGUUGUUAAGUCAGUUGUGAAAGUUUGCGGCUCAACCGUAAAAUUGCAAUUGAUACUGGCAGUCUUGAGUACAGUUGAGGUAGGCGGAAUUCGUGGUGUAGCGGUGAAAUGCUUAGAUAUCACGAAGAACUCCGAUUGCGAAGGCAGCUUACUAAACUGCCACUGACAUUGAUGCUCGAAAGUGUGGGGAGCAAACAGGAUUAGAUACCCGGGUAGUC